This 498-nucleotide ribosomal RNA is filed under the name uncultured bacterium. RNAcentral describes it as "partial 16S ribosomal RNA". It matches the Rfam family "Bacterial small subunit ribosomal RNA", at positions 30 to 523 of the family's 1533-position model. The record is from RNAcentral.
AUUGAACGCUGGCGGCAUGCCUUACACAUGCAAGUCGAACGGUAACGGGCCUUCGGGUGCCGACGAGUGGCGAACGGGUGAGUAAUGUAUCGGAACGUACCAUCGAGUGGGGGAUAACGUAGCGAAGGUUACGCUAAUACCGCAUAUUCUCUCCGGAGGAAAGCAGGGGACCGCAAGGCCUUGCGCACUUUGAGCGGCCGAUAUCAGAUUAGCUAGUUGGUGGGGUAAAAGCUCACCAAGGCGACGAUCUGUAGCGGGUCUGAGAGGAUGAUCCGCCACACUGGAACUGAGACACGGUCCAGACUCCUACGGGAGGCAGCAGUGGGGAAUUUUGGACAAUGGGGGCAACCCUGAUCCAGCCAUGCCGCGUGAGUGAAGAAGGCCUUCGGGUUGUAAAGCUCUUUCAGCCGGGAAGAAAUCGCAUGGGCUAAUACCCCGUGCGGAUGACGGUACCGGAAUAAGAAGCACCGGCUAACUACGUGCCAGCCGCCGCUGUAA